Molecule: ribosomal RNA, 509 nt
Filed under: uncultured bacterium
Lineage: Bacteria
Description: bacterial SSU rRNA
Rfam family: Bacterial small subunit ribosomal RNA
Source: RNAcentral
CUACGUGCCAGCAGCCGCGGUAAUACGUAGGUGGCAAGCGUUGUCCGGAAUUAUUGGGCGUAAAGCGCGCGCAGGCGGAUCAGUCAGUCUGUCUUAAAAGUUCGGGGCUUAACCCCGUGAUGGGAUGGAAACUGCCAAUCUAGAGUAUCGGAGAGGAAAGUGGAAUUCCUAGUGUAGCGGUGAAAUGCGUAGAUAUUAGGAAGAACACCAGUGGCGAAGGCGACUUUCUGGACGAAAACUGACGCUGAGGCGCGAAAGCCAGGGGAGCGAACGGGAUUAGAUACCCCGGUAGUCCUGGCCGUAAACGAUGGGUACUAGGUGUAGGAGGUAUCGACCCCUUCUGUGCCGGAGUUAACGCAAUAAGUACCCCGCCUGGGGAGUACGACCGCAAGGUUGAAACUCAAAGGAAUUGACGGGGGCCCGCACAAGCGGUGGAGUAUGUGGUUUAAUUCGACGCAACGCGAAGAACCUUACCAGGUCUUGACAUUGAUGGACAGAACUAGAGAUAG